AACGAACGCUGGCGGCAUGCCUAACACAUGCAAGUCGAACGAGACCGUCGGGUCUAGUUGCGCUCGGGUGCUUACCGCCUGGGAACCUGCACUUAAGUUCGGAAUCCCUGCCCUAAAGGGAUCCUAAUACCGGAUAAUGUCAUCCGACCUAAGAUUUCUUGCCUUUGGAUGGGCCCGCGUUGGAUUAGCUGGUUGGUAGGGUAAUAGCAUACCAAGGCGUCGAUGCAUAGCUGGUCUGAGAGGAGGAUCAGCUACGCUGGGACUGAGACACGGCCCAGACUCGUACGGGAGGCAGCAGUGGGGAAUACUGGAGGAGGGGGCAAAGCCUGAUCCAGCAACGCCGCGUGAGUGAGGCAGGCGGUAGUGUUGUAAAGCUCUCUUACCCGGGAUGAUAAUGACAGUACCGGGAGAAUAAGCACCGGCUAACUCCGUG
This 433-nucleotide ribosomal RNA is filed under the name uncultured bacterium. Its description in RNAcentral is "partial 16S ribosomal RNA". It matches the Rfam family "Bacterial small subunit ribosomal RNA", at positions 29 to 507 of the family's 1533-position model. The record is from RNAcentral.